Molecule: long non-coding RNA, 1050 nt
Organism: Oncorhynchus keta (chum salmon)
Lineage: Eukaryota; Metazoa; Chordata; Actinopteri; Salmoniformes; Salmonidae
Exons: 4
Source: RefSeq, a predicted model, not a curated record
AUUUAUAUGGCAUGUGUUAAUGUUCCACCAGGUGUCUGGCUUGGUCCUGGACCUGGUCGGGGCAAUGUCUCGGCCAACCUACACAGAAAUGGAGUCUUUCACCCACAUAUCCCAGGGCCUGUCUCACACCUCCAUCCUCCUCAUAGCGGUGGGCAUCAUCGUCUCCCUGCUGGCCUUCCUGGGUAGCAUUAGGGCGUUGUCUGACAGACCGUUUGCAUUUUGCUUUUGGAGAGUAACAUCUUGGUUGUUUGUACUCUGUAGUUCACACACUUCCUAAUGCUGAUCCUCAGUGUCUGGGAUUCUCUUCUAUGUCUUCAGAAACAAGGUGGAGAGAAGGAUCACCCUGAAAGUUAACGAGGUGAUCAUGCAGCACAGCCCCAGGGAUAAGGUUGCCAUCGAUGACCUACAACAUGCAGGCUUUGUGCAGGUGAUCAAAGAGUCCCUGAAGAGGAACCUGGUGUGGCUGGGUGCCGCCUGCAUCAUACUGGGUCUCAUAGAGUUAGUGGGAUGCAUCGUGGGAAUGAAGCUCUUUCGGGAUGUCAAGAAGAGAGAGGUGUAUGAGAAUUUAGGUUAAAGAGGGAGGGACUGGCUUCGGUCAAGACAAUAAAUGCCCAUACUAUUCUAUUGUAAAUCGGGGGAGAAUGCUGUGACUCUCAUCAUAAUGCAGUUUAGAUCCUGUGCAGCCUAUUGUCUUUCCAAAUAUUGAAUUGUUAUCAGUGAUUGGUUGUUUUGUUGUUGUUGUUUUUUCUGGAAUGUUCCGAUUUUUUAUGGUGGUGGAGGCAAAGAGGUAAGAAUAACAGUGCAGCUUGAAUUCACACAUUGUUGAGUCGAUUUGUUUUUGUUGUCGUUUUGAAUGUCUGCAUUCUGUGUCUGCCAUGUUUCACCAGGCCAUUUGGUCCAGGAGGUGAGGAGGUCACCUGUCACACAGUCAUUCUCCCAUGUUAUUUAGGCGGUUGUUCCUGGGUGGUUCACUAGGAACAUUUGCUCCCGUCCCCUCCAAGCGAUAAGGGUGUGGUGGUGCUAAUUAGAGUUUCUUCAGACAGCUGGGAU